AUUGAACGCUGGCGGCAUGCUUUACACGUGCAAGUCGAACGGUAACAGCACUUCGGUGGCUGACGAGUGGCGAACGGGUGAGUAAUACAUCGGAACGUGCCUAGUAGUGGGGGAUAACUACUCGAAAGAGUAGCUAAUACCGCAUGAGAUCUAAGGAUGAAAGCAGGGGACCUUCGGGCCUUGCGCUACUAGAGCGGCUGAUGGCAGAUUAGGUAGUUGGUGGGAUAAAAGCUUACCAAGCCGACGAUCUGUAGCUGGUCUGAGAGGACGACCAGCCACACUGGGACUGAGACACGGCCCAGACUCCUACGGGAGGCAGCAGUGGGGAAUUUUGGACAAAGGGCGCAAGCCUGAUCCAGCAAUGCCGCGUGCAGGAUGAAGGCCUUCGGGUUGUAAACUGCUUUUGUACGGAACGAAAAGCCCUCUUCUAAUACAGGAGGGUCAUGACGGUACCGUAAGAAUAAGCACCGGCUAACUACGUG
Molecule: ribosomal RNA, 482 nt
Filed under: uncultured bacterium
Lineage: Bacteria
Description: partial 16S ribosomal RNA
Rfam family: Bacterial small subunit ribosomal RNA
Source: RNAcentral